GACGAACGCUGGCGGCGUGCCUAAUACAUGCAAGUAGAACGCACAGUUUAUACCGUAGCUUGCUACACCAUAAACUGUGAGUUGCGAACGGGUGAGUAACGCGUAGGUAACCUGCCUGGUAGCGGGGGAUAACUAUUGGAAACGAUAGCUAAUACCGCAUAAUAUUGAUUAUUGCAUGAUAAUUGAUUGAAAGAUGCUAUUGCAUCACUACCAGAUGGACCUGCGUUGUAUUAGCUGGUAGGUGAGGUAACGGCUCACCUAGGCGACGAUACAUAGCCGACCUGAGAGGGUGAUCGGCCACACUGGGACUGAGACACGGCCCAGACUCCUACGGGAGGCAGCAGUAGGGAAUCUUCGGCAAUGGACGAAAGUCUGACCGAGCAACGCCGCGUGAGUGAAGAAGGUUUUCGGAUCGUAAAGCUCUGUUGUAAGAGAAGAACGGGUGUGAGAGUGGAAAGUUCACACUGUGACGGUAUCUUACCAGAAAGGGACGGCUAACUACGUG
Molecule: ribosomal RNA, 505 nt
Filed under: uncultured bacterium
Lineage: Bacteria
Description: partial 16S ribosomal RNA
Rfam family: Bacterial small subunit ribosomal RNA
Source: RNAcentral